This 460-nucleotide ribosomal RNA is filed under the name uncultured bacterium. RNAcentral describes it as "partial 16S ribosomal RNA". It matches the Rfam family "Bacterial small subunit ribosomal RNA", at positions 338 to 795 of the family's 1533-position model. The record is from RNAcentral.
CCUACGGGCGGCAGCAGUGAGGAAUAUUGGUCAAUGGACGAGAGUCUGAACCAGCCAAGUAGCGUGAAGGAUGACUGCCCUAAGGGUUGUAAACUUCUUUUAUAUGGGAAUAAAAUGUUCCACGUGUGGGAUUUUGUAUGUACCUUAUGAAUAAGGAUCGGCUAACUCCGUGCCAGCAGCCGCGGUAAUACGGAGGAUGCGAGCGUUAUCCGGAUUUAUUGGGUUUAAAGGGAGCGUAGGUGGAUUGUUAAGUCAGUUGUGAAAGUUUGCGGCUCAACCGUAACAUUGCCGUUGAAACUGGCAGUCUUGAGUAGAGGAGAAGUAUGCGGAAUGCGUGGUGUAGCGGUGAAAUGCUUAGAUAUCACGAAGAACUCCGAUUGCGAAGGCAGCACACCGGACUGACACUGACGCUGAGGCACGAAAGUGUGGGUAUCAAACAGGAUUAGAUACCCGAGUAGUC